UACGUAGGCAGCGAGCGUUGUUCGGAUUUACUGGGCGUAAAGGGUGUGUAGGCGGUUGCUUAAGUUUGGUGUGAAAUCUCCCGGCUCAACUGGGAGGGUGCGCCGAAUACUGAGUGACUAGAGUGCGGGAGAGGAGAGUGGAAUUCCUGGUGUAGCGGUGAAAUGCGUAGAUAUCAGGAGGAACACCGGUGGUGUAGACGGCUCUCUGGACCGUAACUGACGCUGAGACACGAAAGCGUGGGUAGCAAACAGG
RNAcentral lists this ribosomal RNA (253 nucleotides) under uncultured bacterium. Its description in RNAcentral is "partial 16S ribosomal RNA". It matches the Rfam family "Bacterial small subunit ribosomal RNA", at positions 524 to 776 of the family's 1533-position model. The record is from RNAcentral.